CCCUCCCUCUUUCUUCAGGCUUAACACAUGCAAGUCGAACGCACCUUUCGGGGUGAGUGGCCGACGGGUGAGUAACGCGUGGGAAUCUACCCUUCUCUACGGGAUAGCUCCGGGAAACUGGAAUUAAUACCGUAUACGUCCUGAGGGAGAAAGAUUUAUCGGGGAAGGAUGAGCCCGCGUUGGAUUAGCUAGUUGGUGGGGUAAAGGCCUACCAAGGCGACGAUCCAUAGCUGGUCUAAGAGGAUGAUCAGCCACAUUGGGACUGAGACACGGCCCAAACUCCUACGGGAGGCAGCAGUGGGGAAUAUUGGACAAUGGGCGCAAGCCUGAUCCAGCCAUGCCGCGUGAGUGAUGAAGGCCCUAGGGUUGUAAAGCUCUUUCAGGGGGGACGAUAAUGACGGUACCCACAGAAGAAGCCCCGGCUAACUUCGUG
This 433-nucleotide ribosomal RNA is filed under the name uncultured bacterium. Its description in RNAcentral is "partial 16S ribosomal RNA". It matches the Rfam family "Bacterial small subunit ribosomal RNA", at positions 36 to 507 of the family's 1533-position model. The record is from RNAcentral.